AGUGAACGCUGGCGGUAGGCCUAACACAUGCAAGUCGAACGGCAGCACAGUAAGAGCUUGCUCUUACGGGUGGCGAGUGGCGGACGGGUGAGGAAUACAUCGGAAUCUACUUUUUCGUGGGGGAUAACGUAGGGAAACUUACGCUAAUACCGCAUACGACCUACGGGUGAAAGCAGGGGAUCUUCGGACCUUGCGCGAUUGAACGAGCCGAUGUCGGAUUAGCUAGUUGGCGGGGUAAAGGCCCACCAAGGCGAUGAUCCGUAGCUGGUCUGAGAGGAUGAUCAGCCACACUGGAACUGAGACACGGCCCAGACUCCUACGGGAGGCAGCAGUGGGGAAUAUUGGACAAUGGGCGCAAGCCUGAUCCAGCCAUACCGCGUGGGUGAAGAAGGCCUUCGGGUUGUAAAGCCCUUUUGUUGGGAAAGAAAAGCAGCAGGUUAAUACCCCGCUGUUCUGACGGUACCCAAAGAAUAAGCACCGGCUAACUUCGUG
This 492-nucleotide ribosomal RNA is filed under the name uncultured bacterium. RNAcentral describes it as "partial 16S ribosomal RNA". It matches the Rfam family "Bacterial small subunit ribosomal RNA", at positions 29 to 507 of the family's 1533-position model. The record is from RNAcentral.